This 727-nucleotide ribosomal RNA is filed under the name uncultured Bacilli bacterium. RNAcentral's name for it is "bacterial SSU rRNA". It matches the Rfam family "Bacterial small subunit ribosomal RNA", at positions 26 to 734 of the family's 1533-position model. Lineage: Bacteria; Bacillati; Bacillota; Bacilli. The record is from RNAcentral.
AGGACGAACGCUGGCGGCGUGCUAAUACAUGCAAGUCGAGCGGACCGACGGGAGCUUGCUCCCUUAGGUCAGCGGCGGACGGGUGAGUAACACGUGGGUAACCUGCCUGUAAGACUGGGAUAACUCCGGGAAACCGGGGCUAAUACCGGAUGCUUGAUUGAACCGCAUGGUUCCAAUCAUAAAAGGUGGCUUUCAGCUACCACUUACUGAUGGACCCGCGGCGCAUUAGCUAGUUGGUGAGGUAACGGCUCACCAAGGCGACGAUGCGUAGCCGACCUGAGAGGGUGAUCGGCCACACUGGGACUGAGACACGGCCCAGACUCCUACGGGAGGCAGCAGUAGGGAAUCUUCCGCAAUGGACGAAAGUCUGACGGAGCAACGCCGCGUGAGUGAUGAAGGUUUUCGGAUCGUAAAACUCUGUUGUUAGGGAAGAACAAGUACCGUUCGAAUAGGGCGGCACCUUGACGGUACCUAACCAGAAAGCCACGGCUAACUACGUGCCAGCAGCCGCGGUAAUACGUAGGUGGCAAGCGUUGUCCGGAAUUAUUGGGCGUAAAGCGCGCGCAGGCGGUUUCUUAAGUCUGAUGUGAAAGCCCCCGGCUCAACCGGGGAGGGUCAUUGGAAACUGGGGAACUUGAGUGCAGAAGAGGAGAGUGGAAUUCCACGUGUAGCGGUGAAAUGCGUAGAGAUGUGGAGGAACACCAGUGGCGAAGGCGACUCUCUGGUC